ACCCAGCUUAAAAAAUGGGCAAAAAUAAGCGUGCUGAUUGGGUUAUCAUGUGACUGCAUGAGGUGUGGCACCCACAAACCUUUUAACGACUUCGGCACAUUAUCUGUCUGACA
This is a non-coding RNA of Erinaceus europaeus (western European hedgehog), 113 nucleotides long. The record is from Rfam. Lineage: Eukaryota; Metazoa; Chordata; Mammalia; Eulipotyphla; Erinaceidae.